AAUGAAGUGCCUGAUAAAAGGGCUAUCUUGAUAGGAUAAAUAAUGUAAAAUUUACCUUCAUUA
RNAcentral lists this transfer RNA (63 nucleotides) under Mekongiella kingdoni. Its description in RNAcentral is "tRNA-Ile". Lineage: Eukaryota; Metazoa; Arthropoda; Insecta; Orthoptera; Pyrgomorphidae. The record is from RNAcentral.